This is a non-coding RNA of Coturnix japonica (Japanese quail), 254 nucleotides long. The record is from RefSeq and is a predicted model, not a curated record. Lineage: Eukaryota; Metazoa; Chordata; Aves; Galliformes; Phasianidae.
AUUGGGGCUGGGGGACCUAUGGACGUUGGAUAUAGAGACCCUGACGUGGAACAAACCCAGCCUCAGUGGGGUGGCCCCACUGCCACGCAGCCUGCACUCGGCCACCACCAUCGGCAACAAGAUGUACGUGUUUGGGGGCUGGGUGCCCCUGGUGAUGGACGACGUCAAAGUGGCCACACACGAGAAGGAGUGGAAGUGCACCAACACGUUGGCCUGCCUCAACCUGGGUGAGGAAACCCAAAAUGGCACCGAUU